GUGUUAAAGGAGAGAAGGUUAGCACUCCCCUUGACAAGAUUGAAAGAGGCUCUCAGGACUGACAACAUGCAUAUGGUUAAGGCAUUGCCAUCUACUUCAAGGUAUCUAACCCUCAUUUUUU
Molecule: small nuclear RNA, 121 nt
Organism: Zalophus californianus (California sea lion)
Lineage: Eukaryota; Metazoa; Chordata; Mammalia; Carnivora; Otariidae
Source: Ensembl